GACGAACGCUGGCGGCGUGCCUAAUACAUGCAAGUAGAACGCACAGUUUAUACCGUAGCUUGCUACACCAUAGACUGUGAGUUGCGAACGGGUGAGUAACGCGUAGGUAACCUGCCUGGUAGCGGGGGAUAACUAUUGGAAACGAUAGCUAAUACCGCAUAAUAUUAAUUAUUGCAUGAUAAUUAAUUGAAAGGUGCAAUUGCACCACUACCAGAUGGACCUGCGUUGUAUUAGCUAGUAGGUGAGGUAACAGCUCACCUAGGCGACGAUACAUAGCCGACCUGAGAGGGUGAUCGGCCACACUGGGAAUGAGACACGGCCCAGAAUCCUACGGGAGGCAGCAGUAGGGAAUCUUCGGCAAUGGACGAAAGUCUGACCGAGCAACGCCGCGUGAGUGAAGAAGGUUUUCGGAUCGUAAAGCUCUGUUGUAAGAGAAGAACGGGUGUGAGAGUGGAAAGUUCACACUGUGACGGUAUCUUACCAGAAAGGGACGGCUAACUACGUG
Molecule: ribosomal RNA, 505 nt
Filed under: uncultured bacterium
Lineage: Bacteria
Description: partial 16S ribosomal RNA
Rfam family: Bacterial small subunit ribosomal RNA
Source: RNAcentral